GAUGAAGAACGCAGCGAAAUGCGAUAAGUAAUGCGAAUUGCAGAAUUCCGUGAGUCAUCGAAUCUUUGAACGCACAUUGCGCCCUUUGGCAUUCCGAAGGGCAUGCCUGUUCGAGCGUCAUUUAUCAACCCUCAAGCCCGGCUUGCGGUUGGGUCCCGCCGUGGGCGACCACGGCGGACCCGAAAGGUAAUGGCGGUGCCCGUGGGGCCCUGGACGCAUCGAGCUUCUCGGCACGCGUCCCGGCGGUCCCCGGCGCCGUCUCCACCAAUCCACCACGCAGAUUGACCUCGGAUCAGGUAGGGAUACCCGCUGAACUUAAGCAUAUCAAUAAGCGGAGGA
RNAcentral lists this unclassified non-coding RNA (339 nucleotides) under soil metagenome. Its description in RNAcentral is "partial contains 5.8S ribosomal RNA, internal transcribed spacer 2, and large subunit ribosomal RNA". The stretch from base 1 to 120 matches the Rfam family "5.8S ribosomal RNA", at positions 35 to 154 of the family's 154-position model. The record is from RNAcentral.